AUUUGGCGGUAUUUAAAUCUAAUUAGAGGAACUUGUUUUUUAAUUGAUAAUCCCCAUUAAAUCUUACUUAAUUUAAUUAGUUUAUAUAUCGUCGUCAUAAGAAUUUUUUAAAAGAAAAAAAAUCUUCUAAAAUUUUAAUUUUAAAUUAUGUCAGAUCAAGGUUUAGCUAUAAUUAAGAAAAUAUGAGUUACAAUAAAAUUAUUUAAAUGGAUUUAAAUCUUAAAAUUUUAAUGAAGGUGGAUUUAAUAGUAAAAUUAAUUAUAGAGUUAAUUUGAUUUUAGUUCUUAAAUAUGUACAAAUCGCCCGUCACUCUCUG
Molecule: ribosomal RNA, 316 nt
Filed under: Pectinepsia sumatrensis
Lineage: Eukaryota; Metazoa; Arthropoda; Insecta; Diptera; Mycetophilidae
Description: partial 12S ribosomal RNA
Source: RNAcentral